GCUGACAGUAAGCCAUCUGUUAAAGAAAGGAAGGAUGCAAGUUGGAGCAGAAGAUCCAGCCAUCUCCAAGCCCAAAUUAAGAGCUUACUUUAUACGAGCUACCGGAACCCCCAAAUGCUUAGCUGGCUUCCUUACCUCCAAACGGCGGAUGAUUUCCCGAAGAGGAAGAGCGGACUCAUUUCCUCCAAUGAAAGUCGUAGUUGGCAAGUGAAAGACUUUGUCCAGGUCGGAUUCAUCUAGGCCAUAAAACCCUGCAGGAUUUUCACAGAUAAUGCAAAGUUAGCUUUCAUUCUAAAACUCUGGACCAAGAUGCUAGUUUCAAAGAAGUUGCACAUCUCUUCAAUCAACAAUAUCAGCUGCUUCAGAGUUAAGAGAAUAAUUCUCACCAAUGUUUGGCGAAUCAGUUACUGUCGAAUCAUCAAAAUUUACACAACUAAUGCCGAGAGGAUCAAGCUUGGCAAUGUGGUGACCCCUGACCUAGAAACAACAACAAAAUUAG
This is a long non-coding RNA of Protobothrops mucrosquamatus (brown spotted pit viper), 499 nucleotides long. RefSeq lists it as uncharacterized. The record is from RefSeq and is a predicted model, not a curated record. Lineage: Eukaryota; Metazoa; Chordata; Lepidosauria; Squamata; Viperidae. The transcript is spliced from 4 exons.